RNAcentral lists this ribosomal RNA (109 nucleotides) under Chinchilla lanigera (long-tailed chinchilla). The record is from RNAcentral. Lineage: Eukaryota; Metazoa; Chordata; Mammalia; Rodentia; Chinchillidae.
AUCUAUGGCCAGACCACCCUGAACACGCCCGAUCUCGUCUGGUCUCGGAAGCUAAGCAAGGUCCGGCCAGGUUAGUACUUGGAUGGGAGAAACAAUAUUGGCAAAGAGC